GAAGGACACGUCUCUUAUCGAGCACAAGAUCUGUGAACUGCUCACUGAAUUUCCUUUCAGUUAGUUCUCUAGGUAUGGGGAGUCAUCUAUCCCCUGUGUACAACUUUGAACUCACAUUUUUGUGUCACUCGGCGUCAUAGAAUCAAUACAAGGCACGGAAGUCUGUAAUAAACGACAGUUACAUGAUAUUGCGUGAUUUUUUUUUUCAGACUUUUGAAAUCACUGCGGGACGUACCCUCAAGCAAGGGCACACGGAACCCUCUUCCUCAGGUUGGGAAGGUUUUGAAAAAAAGACCCGGGACCUCUGGCAGCGGGAAUCCAGUGACAAAGGCAGUAAAGACAACAGUGUGGGCCUGAACCCCGGCUCUGACACCUACAAAGGGCCCACCAUGGGUGCUGACAGCUUCAUGAUGGGAGAGGAGAGCCCCUAGUCACUCAGCUGCCGUGGCAGGAGAGGAAAACUUAAUGGGCUGAAGAAAGCAAGGAUGCAGUCUGGCUUUGGCUUCUCAGCACGGCCACACGAACAUCUGAGUGUCCACCCCGAACUGUGGUCAGUGAGAAGGUACCAAGUUUCCAUUUUGUCUAAAGGUCAAAAGUGACCCUUGGGGCACCUGGGUGGCUCAGUCGGUUAAGCGUCUGAGUUCAGCUUGGGUCAUGAUCCCACGUCGGGCUCUGUGCUGACAGCUCAGAGCCUGGAGCCUGCUUCAGAUUCUGUGUCUCCCUCUCUCUCUGGCCUCCCCUGCUCAUGCUCUGUCUGUCUCUCUCUCUCUCUCAAAAAUAAAUAAACGUUAAAAAAAAAAGUGACCCUUAAA
Molecule: long non-coding RNA, 812 nt
Filed under: Felis catus (domestic cat)
Lineage: Eukaryota; Metazoa; Chordata; Mammalia; Carnivora; Felidae
Description: lncRNA (ENSFCAG00000044065.2)
Source: RNAcentral